CUAAUACCGCAUAAGCCCACGACCCGGCAUCGAGUAGAGCGAAAAGGAGCAAUCCGCUUUGAGAUGGCCUCGCGUCCGAUUAGCUAGUUGGUGAGGUAACGGCCCACCAAGGCGACGAUCGGUAGCCGGACUGAGAGGUUGAACGGCCACAUUGGGACUGAGACACGGCCCAGACUCCUACGGGAGGCAGCAGUGGGGAAUAUUGCACAAUGGGGGAAACCCUGAUGCAGCGACGCCGCGUGGAGGAAGAAGGUCUUCGGAUUGUAAACUCCUGUUGUUGAGGAAGAUAAUGACGGUACUCAACAAGGAAGUGACGGCUAACUACGUGCCAGCAGCCGCGGUAAAACGUAGGUCACAAGCGUUGUCCGGAAUUACUGGGUGUAAAGGGAGCGCAGGCGGGAAGACAAGUUGGAAGUGAAAUCCAUGGGCUCAACCCAUGAACUGCUUUCAAAACUGUUUUUCUUGAGUAGUGCAGAGGUAGGCGGAAUUCCCGGUGUAGCGGUGGAAUGCGUAGAUAUCGGGAGGAACACCAGUGGCGAAGGCGGCUUACUGGACGGUAACUGACGUUGAGGCUCGAAAGCGUGGGUAGCAAACAGGAUUAGAUACCCUGGUAGUCCACGCCGUAAACGA
Molecule: ribosomal RNA, 630 nt
Filed under: uncultured bacterium
Lineage: Bacteria
Description: bacterial SSU rRNA
Rfam family: Bacterial small subunit ribosomal RNA
Source: RNAcentral